GGUCAGUGAUGAACAUUAAGAGGUCUGAUUACCCACAAUCCUCUCCUGCUGCUCUCUGGCCCCAGCAGCCCCUGCUCUCUCCUCCCAUCAUGCUCUAGUGGUGCAGCAGUGGUUGCAGGAGCUGCAAACAGACAGGAAGUGACAUCAGUGUGAGCCUGUACAGAGAUUCUAUUGGCUCAAAGUGAUGACUGACUUCCAACAUAACCAAUCAGGACGGAGCGUGAGGCUGAAGAGGAGGAGGGAGCUGAUCUCAAGUUUUCAACCUGAGACC
This 271-nucleotide small nucleolar RNA is filed under the name Scophthalmus maximus (turbot). RNAcentral describes it as "Small Cajal body specific RNA 6 (ENSSMAG00000025164.1)". It matches the Rfam family "Small Cajal body specific RNA 6". From Rfam's summary of the family: U88 is small Cajal body specific RNA (scaRNA). scaRNAs are a novel class of small nuclear RNAs which localise to the Cajal bodies. U88 is found associated with both fibrillarin and Gar1p and co-localises with coilin in Cajal bodies. Lineage: Eukaryota; Metazoa; Chordata; Actinopteri; Pleuronectiformes; Scophthalmidae. The record is from RNAcentral.